Molecule: ribosomal RNA, 595 nt
Filed under: uncultured Bacteroidota bacterium
Lineage: Bacteria; Pseudomonadati; Bacteroidota
Description: bacterial SSU rRNA
Rfam family: Bacterial small subunit ribosomal RNA
Source: RNAcentral
CAACCUGCCUAUAACUAGGGAAUAACCUUGCGAAAGUAAGACUAAUACCCUAUGAUUUCCUUUGAUGACAUCAGAUUAGGAAUAAAGAUUUAUCGGUUAUAGAUGGGGAUGCGUCUGAUUAGCUUGUUGGCGGGGUAACGGCCCACCAAGGCAACGAUCAGUAGGGGUUCUGAGAGGAAGGUCCCCCACAUUGGAACUGAGACACGGUCCAAACUCCUACGGGAGGCAGCAGUGAGGAAUAUUGGUCAAUGGGCGGAAGCCUGAACCAGCCAAGUAGCGUGCAGGAUGACGGCCCUAUGUGUUGUAAACUGCUUUUAUACAGGAAUAAAGUUAGCCACGUGUGGUUAUUUGUAGGUACUGUAUGAAUAAGGACCGGCUAAUUCCGUGCCAGCAGCCGCGGUAAUACGGAAGGUCCAGGCGUUAUCCGGAUUUAUUGGGUUUAAAGGGAGCGUAGGCCGUCUGUUAAGCGUGUUGUGAAAUGUAGAUGCUCAACAUCUGAAUUGCAGCGCGAACUGGCAGACUUGAGUGUGCGCAACGUAGGCGGAAUUCGUGGUGUAGCGGUGAAAUGCUUAGAUAUCACGAAGAACUCCGAUUG